Molecule: long non-coding RNA, 1093 nt
Filed under: Agrilus planipennis (emerald ash borer)
Lineage: Eukaryota; Metazoa; Arthropoda; Insecta; Coleoptera; Buprestidae
Description: uncharacterized LOC108735398, transcript variant X1
Source: RNAcentral
UGAUGGCUGCUGUUUGUUUAUUUGUUUACAAGAUAAUUUACAGGUUAAUUAGCCCGUAAUUUUUCAAAAAACCAAUGAAAUCAUAGAAAAAUUAACAUGUUAAAUGUGGAUAAAUGUAUAUUUAAUUUCAAACAAUUAUUUGGUGAGUUUCAGGAACCGACAAUGUAUUUUACGGACCUACAAUCCUGCUGGUAAUCAUCAACAUAUUUUUCACCAAAUUGGGAAUGAACGAGCUAUUUACGGUGAAUACUACUUAUAGAAGUCCUUUUGGUAAACUGAAAUUAAGUUAUAUAGAGGCAUUACGAUACAUCUAUGGCUAUCUGCUACAGUAAAUGACCCAAAUCCUGCUUAAUAGUAUACCUCAUGAAUGGGUUUUACACUGGUGGUAAACAGUGAGAAAUAACCUUGGAAAUGUGAAAUCUGAACGAUAUAUACAUAGAACAUUGAUUACAAAUUAGUUGAGAUACUUCUUGAAGAAAGGCUGAGUAUGGCCUUUUAUUAUUCUACAAGUGUUAAUAUUAAUCGUUUAGUUCUGCAAUAGGCAGCUGUGGUUCUAUUAAUGGAAUUGGGAUAAUAAAUCUGCUUUCGAAUUUAGUACUUUGGGUACUGAGCAGAUCCAGUAAAAUAUUGCUAUUAGUACUGAAACUUGUUAUACAACUACAAAUUAAAAAAAGAAAAACAGACUGUGAGAAACCAAGAUUUUUAUGUGGCUGUAAUUAUAUUAAUUACAGUCUGAUUCUAAAUCUGCUUGUAAAUUCUACAUUGUUUUCUACAUCCAAUUUUAUAUUAUUAUUAAUUUUAAAUGUAAAACUAAGAACGUAAAGUAUGUAAUUGAACUGCUAAAUUUUUCAUUGAGUAGUUAUAAUUAUUUUAAACAAUGUUUUACUGAAAAUUUGUUUGAAGACUUACCAUUAUACUUAUCUUUCAACUUCAAUAAUUGUUUGUGAAUACUAUUACUGAAAUAUUUAAAAGUAAAAUGUAAAUCUUUAAACAAAGUACUUAUGUAACUUAUCUGAUAAUCAUAUACAAGUGGUAAUGAUCUUUAUUAACUAACAUUUACCGAAAUCUUCUCUUUUACAGACCUUAUAUGUCU